GACGAACGCUGGCGGCGUGCCUAACACAUGCAAGUCGAGCGGAGACAGGGAGUAGCUUGCUAUGAGCUGUUUUAGCGGCGGACGGGUGAGUAACGCGUGAGCAACCUUUCCCAGACAGGGGAAUAACACACCGAAAGGUGUACUAAUACCGCAUAAGACCACGGGAUCACAUGGUUCUGGGGUAAAAGAUUUAUCGGUUUGGGGUGGGCUCGCGUCCGAUUAGGUAGUUGGUGAGGUAACGGCCCACCAAGCCGACGAUCGGUAGCCGACCUGAGAGGGUGAUCGGCCACAUUGGGACUGAGACACGGCCCAAACUCCUACGGGAGGCAGCAGUGGGGAAUAUUGGGCAAUGGAGGAAACUCUGACCCAGCAACGCCGCGUGGAGGAAGAAGGUUUUCGGAUCGUAAACUCCUGUCCUUGGAGACGAGUAGAAGACGGUAUC
RNAcentral lists this ribosomal RNA (442 nucleotides) under uncultured bacterium. RNAcentral's name for it is "bacterial SSU rRNA". It matches the Rfam family "Bacterial small subunit ribosomal RNA", at positions 28 to 479 of the family's 1533-position model. The record is from RNAcentral.